GGUUCCGUGGUCCAGUGGUCAAGACUCAUCGUUGUGGAAAUACGAGACAUUCCCUCCUCGGGAACACAUUCGUACUCGCUACAUCCGAUGCAACCCGUGUUCGAUUCACGGCGGAGCCA
This 119-nucleotide transfer RNA is filed under the name Coniochaeta sp. 2T2.1. RNAcentral describes it as "tRNA-His". Lineage: Eukaryota; Fungi; Ascomycota; Sordariomycetes; Coniochaetales; Coniochaetaceae. The record is from RNAcentral.